Molecule: ribosomal RNA, 873 nt
Filed under: uncultured bacterium
Lineage: Bacteria
Description: bacterial SSU rRNA
Rfam family: Bacterial small subunit ribosomal RNA
Source: RNAcentral
CAUGCAGUCGAACGGUAGAGGGGGCAACCCCUUGAGAAGUGGCGAACGGGUGAGUAAUGUAUCGGAACGUGCCCAGUCGUGGGGGAUAACGUAGUGAAAAUUACGCUAAUACCGCAUACGAUCUAUGGAUGAAAGCGGGGGAUCGCAAGACCUCGCGCGAUUGGAGCGGCCGAUAUCAGAUUAGGUAGUUGGUGGGGUAAGGCUCACCAAGCCAACGAUCUGUAGCUGGUCUGAGAGGACGACCAGCCACACUGGAACUGAGACACGGUCCAGACUCCUACGGGAGGCAGCAGUGGGGAAUUUUGGACAAUGGACGCAAGUCUGAUCCAGCCAUUCCGCGUGCGGGACGAAGGCCUUCGGGUUGUAAACUGCUUUUGUACGGAACGAAAAAGCUCUUAUUAAUACUAGGAGUCCAUGACGGUACUGUAAGAAUAAGCACCGGCUAACUACGUGCCAGCAGCCGCGGUAAUACGUAGGGUGCAAGCGUUAAUCGGAAUUACUGGGCGUAAAGCGUGCGCAGGCGGUUAUAUAAGACAGAUGUGAAAUCCCCCGAGCUUAACUUGGGAACUGCAUUUUGUGACUGUAUAGCUAGAGUACGGCAGAGGGGGAUGGAAUUCCCGCGUGUAGCAGUGAUAUGCGUAGAUAUGCGGAGGAACACCGAUGGCGAAAGCAAUCCCCUGGGCCUGUACUGACGCUCAUGCACGAAAGCGUGGGGAGCAAACAGGAUUAGAUACCCUGGUAGUCCACGCCCUAAACGAUGUCAACUGGGUGUUGGGUCUUCACCUGACUCAGUAACGAAGCUAACGCGUGAAGUUGACCGCCUGGGGAGUACGCCGCAAGUUGAAACUCAAGGAAUUGACGGGGACCCGCACA